RNAcentral lists this ribosomal RNA (252 nucleotides) under uncultured bacterium. RNAcentral describes it as "partial 16S ribosomal RNA". It matches the Rfam family "Bacterial small subunit ribosomal RNA", at positions 30 to 289 of the family's 1533-position model. The record is from RNAcentral.
UUGAACGCUGGCGGCAUGCCUUACACAUGCAAGUCGAACGGUAGAGGGGCAACCCUUGAGAGUGGCGAACGGGUGAGUAAUAUAUCGGAACGUGCCCAGUCGUGGGGGAUAACGCAGCGAAAGCUGCGCUAAUACCGCAUACGAUCUAUGGAUGAAAGCGGGGGAUCGCAAGACCUCGCGCGAUUGGAGCGGCCGAUAUCAGAUUAGGUAGUUGGUGGGGUAAAAGCCCACCAAGCUGACGAUCUGUAGCUG